UCCUCCCUCUUUCUUCGUGCCUAAUACAUGCAAGUAGAACGCUGAAGAGAGGAGCUUGCUCUUCUUGGAUGAGUUGCGAACGGGUGAGUAACGCGUAGGUAACCUGCCUUGUAGCGGGGGAUAACUAUUGGAAACGAUAGCUAAUACCGCAUAACAAUGGAUGACACAUGUCAUUUAUUUGAAAGGGGCAAUUGCUCCACUACAAGAUGGACCUGCGUUGUAUUAGCUAGUAGGUGAGGUAAUGGCUCACCUCGGCGACGAUACAUAGCCGACCUGAGAGGGUGAUCGGCCACACUGGGACUGAGACACGGCCCAGACUCCUACGGGAGGCAGCAGUAGGGAAUCUUCGGCAAUGGGGGCAACCCUGACCGUGCAACGCCGCGUGAGUGAAGAAGGUUUUCGGAUCGUAAAGCUCUGUUGUAAGUCAAGAACGGGUGUGAGAGUGGAAAGUUCACACUGUGACGGUAGCUUACCAGAAAGGGACGGCUAACUACGUG
RNAcentral lists this ribosomal RNA (497 nucleotides) under uncultured bacterium. RNAcentral's name for it is "partial 16S ribosomal RNA". It matches the Rfam family "Bacterial small subunit ribosomal RNA", at positions 36 to 507 of the family's 1533-position model. The record is from RNAcentral.